UAGUCACAGUGGGUGGCAUGUGGGAUCUUAGUUCCUUGAUCAGGGAUUGAAUCCACAUCCCCUGCAUUGGAAGCAUGGAGUCUUAACCGCUGGACUACCAGGGAAACCCCAGAGUGGCCUUCUCUGACACCCUGCCUCUGUUUUACUCUGAUGUCUAACCUUUCCCUCUCUCAGCCCAGUUUCCAUGGAAGGAGGGAGCUGACUAAGAUGAUGACUAAGCCUGGACAUUAUAGGGUUUCGUCUUCCUCAAACCACAUUCCCAAAGUUCUCUGCCUGCCCUGCCAGGAAGAAGAGCCCCAGACUCUUCAGUGAAGAAAGACACCAACAGAGAGAGUGAACUCAGCCCCCCACUACCACAAAUUAUGCAGUUGAGUUUUCUACACUUGGGGAAAUCACAGGGGUCAGCACAUCUGGAGUGCAAUGGAUGAACCACACCCUGGAAAACCACCUUCGUGAUCAUGGCAAGUCCCCUGACAGGUUCAGUCCACACCCUGCCUCCAGGAAGCCCUCACCCUUCCCAGCCUCUCAGGCCUCCAGGGCCUCCCAGCUUCACCUUGCCCGAGGACUUCACACCCUUGAGGAUACAGAGGAACACGAUGACCCAGGCGAGCAGCAGGCAAAGGCAGAGGUUCCAGCGGAUGUGCCCGGGACUUCCGAUGCCCUGGCUUCCUUGGAUGUGGAGGACGUAGCGGCUGUGGGAGACAAGGCCUGAAUGUCCUCUGGUCCCCUUGUCAUGCUCCACAGACACGCAGUGAAGCCGUGGCCAGCCCACAAGCCUAUCCUGGCUGUUCUCUGCUUGAUUCCUCUCCAUCCUUCUAUGAUCAGCUCUGCACCCAGGAGUUGGGCCUCUAGAGACACUAUCACCCAGGCUUCUUCCUCUUCAGUUUCCACAUGGGUCUGGCUAAUGGGAGGCAACAGCAGGAGACUGGAUGAUGGGUUAGGGUAUUUGCGUACAUGUGUGUAUACACGUGUAAGCAUGCACACCUGCACACCAUCAGAGGGUCUGGCUGUGACUGCCUUUUCUACAGCACAGCUGGUUAGGUGGCCCUUCCUCUGAGGCUUUCAAUCUGCCCUGGUUCUGAUAACACUGCCUCCUUGCCUCAGGGGUGAUAUGACUGUCUCUCUUGCUAGCCCUUGGUGCCUCACAUUUUCAUGUGGAUCCCUCACCCCUGUGAAGUCCCUCCACUCACUCAACUCCCUUCAGUGGAGCCCUCUGACAGUGCCAGCUGCUUCCUGCCUGCUCCCCAAGUGAUGCAGCAGGCCAUGGUGUUGCCAUGGAGAACCUAGGCAGCUGCCAGUGACCAUGUCACGUUCUUUGGCUUUUGGUUGCAGACCCAAGCCUGUUCUUCUCCACUGGUCAGGUAUAUUCCUCAGCAGGUGCAGACACUUUAGAUUCAUUUCAAAUGGACAAAUGAAUGAACUAUGUAAUAAAUGCAGGUUGGAGGCUAAAACCUUUAAAAACAUGGGGCUCAUUUGGGAGAAAACUCCUAAGAGUAGCCUUUUGCAGGCAGAGGGGUAUGGUUAUCUGGUCUGUGUCCUCUGUCCAGCCAGUGGUCCCUACCUAGGAACAAGGCUACUCUGGAAUGUUCCAGAACAGGACCAGGCAUCAGGAGGCCUUGGUUCCAGUACUGCCUCUGCUAGUAAGUACUGAGCAAGCCCCCGGGCCUUGUUUUUUCAGCUAUAAAGUGGGACUUUGGGACAGGCCAAUGGGCAGUGAUGCCCUUCUGACCCCCACCACUCACAGGGGCUCGUGAUAUGGCUGGUUCUGAGUUACCCGUGUCAUUCUCAAGCAACCCUAUACUCUCCUUGAGUCUCCUCUCUCCUGUUAGACUAAGCGGAGAUGGUCCGUGUGACCAUGGUCUCUGCUAAGUGUUUUGUCUACUAAUAUAGUCGGCGCUCAAUAAACACAGAUUGAAUGAAUAAACGAGUGACUGACUGACACCAUCCUAUGAAGCAGGGACUCUUACUGCCCCUUAUACAGAAGAGGAAACUGAGGCUCCACAUGUUGACAAUGACUGUUAGCAUCAGCACCAUUACUAUCAGCUAGCAUUUAUUGAGCACUCACUAUCCACCAGGCUGAGCGGCACAAUUUAUAUGCCUUCUUUCCUUUAAUCCUCACAGUAGCCUUCAGAUACUAUCACACCCGAUUCAAAGAUAAGCAUCACAAGCCGAAUAAAUUGUUUACGGUCACACAGCUGGUCAGGUGAAGAACUGGGAUUAGAACUCAGAGUCCAUCCAACACAGCACCUGAACUCAACCUUUGAGGUGCAUGUAGAGCCCCAUAGGAGCACGGGCACAAUCCCGCCCUCUGUCCCUCCCUGCCUGCUGCUGGGCCAGCAGGG
Cervus elaphus (red deer) is the source of this 2342-nucleotide long non-coding RNA. RefSeq lists it as uncharacterized. The record is from RefSeq and is a predicted model, not a curated record. The transcript has 3 exons. Lineage: Eukaryota; Metazoa; Chordata; Mammalia; Artiodactyla; Cervidae.